Molecule: long non-coding RNA, 7099 nt
Filed under: Homo sapiens (human)
Lineage: Eukaryota; Metazoa; Chordata; Mammalia; Primates; Hominidae
Description: HSALNT0232244
Source: RNAcentral
CCCAGAUAUCUCCUUUUUAUGGAGGUUGAAGUUUAAAGAAGCACUUACUGUAGCAGUCUGGAUAGGCUAGGAUACACAAUGGAAAACUAAAUCUCAAGACCUCAAAAUAACAAGAGUAAAUGCCGUUUUGUCAAUGAAAGAGGGAUGCUUGCGAUGAUGUGAAGGAUGUCUGAGAAGAGGUGUAUUUCUGAAGGAAAGAAAGAACACAGCAUACUCCUUGGAUAAAUCUCAUUUUCUUCCUUGUUAAGCCUUUUUUUCCCAUUGCAUUCUCUACAAACCCCUGGCCCACUCUUUCCUCCUCUUUCUACUUCCUUCCUUUCUCACCUGUACCCCAAACUAUAUUUGUAAACUCUUGCAGUGUUACUUUUGCACAGGGCUUGAAAUAUUUAACACCUUUGUUUUUAAUACAUGAGAAAAAUAAGAUCUAUAGGAAAGGAAACAACUUAACCAGUUUGAACAGGUAAUUGAUAGACUACAGUCCUCUCUCAAAUGUUUACUAAUGACACAUAUGCAUGGAGAUGGGAAUGUAUACAUACACACACACACAUACACACACACACAAACACACGUAUUGACUGGUUGAAACAUGACAGUUCUCCAGUACCUGGGAAUUAAAGGAGGGUGCAUUAGCCAUCCCUACCUUUACCUCAAUAUCCAUUUUAGGAAGGAUUAGAAAUUAAUUUACAUGAUUGAACAUACCAAGGGCUUUGAAAGCAGAAAAAUAUGAAAUUCAGAUUUUUCACUUCUUCAUCCUGGAGGUUCAGUUUUCCCAACACUAAAAUGAGGAUAGUAACACCAAACAUGGGAAUUGUUGAAGUGAUCAGUGAAAUAGAUGCUGUAUUAUAGGCCUAGCUCAGUUUAUGCUCUUAUCUUAAGAUUCUCUCUCUGGAAACCAAACCACCCCUGGAAUGGGCUCUGGUGGUCCUUACAUGAACAUAAGGCAUGCAUAACCCCUUUGAUAUUGUGAGUGUUUCUCUGCAUAUGAGCAUUCUUUUCUUCAGGGAAAAGUUCCUAACUUUUAUUAGAUUCUCAAAGUUGUCUGUAUUUCCUAUUAUUUUAAGAAAACUGACUUAAAUAGAAGGUGUAAUUGCGAAUGUUAACAAUAAUAAUUACAAACACCAUAACAUUACUAAUAUUUCACUACAAACAAAUAAUAAUAGUAUUAUUAUUAAUAUUCAAUUAUCUGAACAUGAGCCAAAAUUGGUGGAUGAAUCACAUUUAAAUCAUCGGGUGCUUUGCUUUCACCAGGUAAAAAGUUCCAAUUUCUUCUUAUUACAUUAAAUCUUAAGAACCUAUUUCACUCUUAUCCACAAAAAGGAACUCAUUUCCCCUAGAAAGGCAGGCUAAUGAGGUCUGCUUAAUUUAUAGCUGGGUCCAUUUAUGUGGUGGUUUCAUUAACAAAGACAUCUAUUUAAUUCAAUAGAUUCCUACACGUGGUACACAUAGAAGACACUACUACCCCCAUUCACUCCCCAUCCAUUCAUUACCCUAAUGCUUCUGACACACACAAACAAACCUUGUUUUACAAAUUGCUUAGAGAUUUGAUUAUUGCAUCAUGCAUUUUGUUGUAACAAGAAAGGUGAUUUAAAAUCAUUAGUCCUAAAAUUUAGUCCUGUGUGUGCUUUGAAGUCAAGGGGAACAAUUUGUCAGCUGGUUGAUCUUUUGCUUCUAAAGCUAGUUAACUGAUCAAUCUAAUGUCAAAGGAACAGAGAUAAAUGGGAGACAUUUUACUAUGUAGAAAACGGUACAUGAAGAUAAAUCCAACACUGUGCUUUAUUUCAUCUGCAGUUAUCUUUGUAGUAAUUGCUUUGGAAGACUCAAGGUGCUCUUUGCACAUAGGGAGUGUUAGAAGCCUUUAAAUCAUCUGCAUAGACUAGUAGCUUCUUGCUGCGAAUCUUGCUUUGCUCCAUUUUUGGGUAGAGAGGACAAUAAUCUCCUACUAUAAAUGCAAAUUUGGCAAGGACCAAAGGUUGGGAUUCUUGACUAGUUGUUUAUUGAACAAUCAAUUCAUACAUUUCUGAAAUUUCUUGACAUGCUUGCAAAGUAGAUCCAUUCCUUAUUGAAUUCAUUUGAUUUUCACUAUGACCAUAAUGAUUAAACUAGUUCUGGAGUAAACGUUUCCUAAUGAACAGAUUUGGAUGUACCAGCUGUUCCAGUUAUCUCUGUACAAAACAACCCCCCCAACUAUCUGGCUUAAAACAAAAGACAUAUAUUUCAUAAUUUUGUAAAUCAAAAAUUGAAAUUGAGUGACAACAGCAAAGGAAACUUAAAAAUAUUUAGCCAUCAAUGAACUGUAGGGUCCAAUAUACCUUCAUUUACAUGUCUGGUACCUUGGAUGCAGGGAAUGAUUGGAAGGCUUGUCUAGUAGACUCAGCUGUGACUGCCAAUCAGAGUACCUCCAUUUGGCUUCUCCAACAAGAAGUAUCAGAUAAACUUCUUACUUGACAUCUCAGGGCUCUCAGAGAGUUCUAAAAGGCCAUACUGGAAGCUGCAACAGUUCUUAUCAGAGUAUCAGUUGCUACUAGGUCAAUUUAUGGACAAAUCACUCAGGUCAUCUCAGACUCAAGGUAAGAGAAACUAGACUCUACCUCAUAGAGAAGAGAAAAACACGGUAUCCAUAUCCUUCUUUAAUCUACCACUCCAGAACAUUUUGAUUCUAUACAAGACCCAUUAUCAAAUCAUUCUGCUGCCAUCACCUCAAGGUUUUAUAUGUUUUAGAAUGUUCAGCAAGACAGAUCAUGGUCAGGGUAAAAGAGCAGUAAUUGGUUAAGUAGCUAUUAUUCUGACAAGCUACAAAAGGGACUUGCAUUUUCUUAACUCUCAGAAAUUUUUUGUAUUUUUAGUAGAGACGGGGUUUCACCGAGAAACAUCUUCUUACUGAAAGUUAUGUGAACACCCAUUAGAAACCAGGGAGAGAGAUUUCAUUUCUUCCAGAGUAGGUUCAAUGCCUAGUUUUACCCUAUCAGAAUUUUGUCCGGGGCACUUAUCCAGUGACAAUUUUUUUUUCAUAAGAGCUAUUUUUCGUAAGACUGCCCAAAAUCUUAGGAAUGAUCCAAUUUUCCAGUAAUGACUAAUAUAUUAAGAUGCAUAUGAAGGCUCCUCUUUCAUUAUGAUAGUCACCCUCUCACCAUUGCCUACCGAAUACUGUCUCAACUCAUCGAACUGCCUGACUUUUCACAACGAAGCCUUUAAAGUUUAUUCAAAACUUCUCUCCUCACAUUCACCCUGUCCACCAGCGAGACCACCCCUCCCAUUGUCUCCAGAAUAAAUAUGGUGUUCCCACCUCUGGGAAAGUUAACAAUGACAAUUAUAUCAAUUGCUAAUAUUUGUUGAACACUUACAUCACUUGUUUGCUCUUUAGGCUACGUUGAUUGAUGUGAAUUGCAAUGGACACUCCGAUGCCGUUGGGAAGCACUUCUUGUCUGUUGUACUCAACACAAAGAACUGUCCACUCUUGAUAUUUUUUUUGUAAAAGCCUGUAUCAUGUCUUCCCAGACAAAUGUUCCAGGAAAGUAUGAGAUUUUGUCUCGUACUACUUGUUUUCACACACAAUGUCUCACACAGAGCAGGCACUCCACAAAUAAAUUACUAGUCCAGCAACCCUUUAUUACACAACUGUUACAUACUCCAUGCAAACAAGGAAAGCAAGUUAGAACAAAUGAAACACAACUUCAGGAAUAGUUUGUUGUUCAUUUGAAUUUGCUGAUAUUUUUAUGUUUGACUUUAGAGGAAUUUGAAUGAUUUAGGUCGGAAUUGCAUUUCUACAGCUGGCUGGCAGGACAACUUUGAACAGUCUACAGAGCUCCUAUUUUCCUCUCUCUGAAGUGAGGGUAACAACUGGUAAAAGUGUUGUAUGUCUAAAAUCACAAAAGUGAUGUAAAGCUUUACUUUUCAAAUUUUCUUGUGCUUAAAAAUCAUCUGGAAUCUUGUAAAAAGGGCUGUGGUCUAAAAGAAAGAGCCUGAGAUUCUGCAUUUCAGACAAGCUCCCAGAGAAGGUAAAUGAUGGCCCAUCGGCUACAGCUUGAGUAGCAAUGCUAUAAAGCACCUAAUAUUAAUACUCACUCUGAAAUGUUGUCCUCCCCUUCCUCCCUCCAUCUUCCUAUUUGAAAAUUCCAGGAGACAGAAAUGGAUUUUUAUUUACUCCAAACGUCCAGUCUGAUGGUCUCUCAAUUGUGUUCCUCGUUUAAAAUAGUGCGGCUCCUGCACUUUGUUUAACUCUGCUUGACAAUCAGUGAUUUGUGAUUCUGCUCUUUCCUGAGCAUGUUUAUAAAAUGACGACCUUGGGAUUGGAGUCUCUGCUGCCCAAAUGCAGGGAGCAGACUUUCUAUGGAAGAAUUGUGAAAGGUCAUUUUACCACUGUUUUUUUCUUUCUUCUUGUCUUUCUUUUUGUUUUUUUGCCUUGGCUUCAUAUGCUAAUGGAAUCAACAUCCCCAUUUGCUAUUUUAAUGUUUCUUAGAAAGCUUUAUCUCAGAAUUUCCUAUGGUUUGUAUGUGCAUUAGUCUUCUAGGUGAAUCAGAGGUUUCCUGCUAUAACACCAUGAGGUUUCUCAAUAGACCCUCUUGGCUCCUUGUUGAGUCUUUUGAAUGACUUUAUUAUAAUAAAGUUGACUUGGAGCCAGAGGAGGCAGAGCUCCAGUGUUGGGCUUUCUGUAGAAUUUUAUGGGUUUUUCUCAGAAGUUUAAUGCCAGUUUAAUGGAGUUUUAUAACUAUUAAUACUCUACCACUCCAGCUGCGCUAAGAAAUAUGUAACUAAACAAUAACUUGAAAUAGGUAAAUUCAUGAUUAAGUUGCACUAAAAACUAAUGCCUCUUGGCCAUAGUUCAUAAUUUCCAAAGGCACAUCAUUUAGAAUGAUUGGUAACUUUAGCCUUGUAACUCUUUCAAGGAGAAAGGCUGUGAGCUUAAAUCACUACAUUAAGCUGACAGUGAGGCUCAUAUUUUCUGAGCUAAAGAUAUAUUUUUAUGGCCACACAGUGGACUCUGUUUAUCACUCAUCAUAAACCAUAGGAAACCAUUUUUGUUUUAAAUUAGGUGCUUAGGCUUUUGUCCUGUAAUCUGUUUCUUUAUUUCCCCUUUUCACUUUUGUUGGUCCAUUUUCAACAACUCCCAAUCGUCUUCCGUUUCCUGAAAACAGCUCAUAUUUUAUAUCUCAGCUUCUUUAAAGGUAUUUCAUCCUAGUUGAGGUCACCUUAAUUUACACCUCAAAUUACAGUUCCAGAGCCAACUUCUUUGCUGCUGAUAUUGAGUAGUAAUCCUACUAAAGAGUCCAAUUUUAAAAUGAGGAACAGUCUUAUCCUACAAUGCCAGGCAUAAGAAGCCCAUGAAUUUUGCAUAUAUCUUUAGUACUUUAAUUUAUUGAAUUACAUUUCUCCACUUCUUUGAGCCACUUAGUCAAUUACACUUCAUUCUGCUGCCUCGUCUGGUUCUAGAAGCUGUCUGUUCACAAAGACCAUAACUAAGUCAGUUUUUCCCAGACGAGGCAACAGCCGCAAAUCAUCUGAAAGUGAAAUGACUGUGGAAUUUGAGGUUUAAUUGUUUUUAAGCCAUCUUGAUUAUGUUUAUUAAAAUAGAAGGUCUUGUCAAGUUAGACCUCUCUCUAUUUCUGUCUGUCUUUCUCCUCACCUCCCUCACUGACUUUUCAGCUCACUGAGGCCCAUCCUUUUAUUGCCUGAUUUUAUACAGUUGGAUGAGAAACACAUACUGGGCAGUGGCCACAGCCCCAUCAACUGAAAGGAAUAUGAUGGGAUCAGAAGUCCUCUUAAUGAAAAACUGUAUCUUUAAUUCCUGUGGAAUUUUAAAACAUGUGCAGUGCAAUCUAUAAAUGGCCAAAUAAAAAAAGAGCAAAUAAACAUAAGAUGUUACUGUGAUCUGGUAUAAAGCCUAUAUGGCAUAGCUGAGUUUCUACCCUGCCCUAACUCCACUUAUCUUGAAGAAAAAGGAUGCCUGUGAUCAAAAUUUUUCUUUGCAAACCAGACUAGCUGAAUUUCUACCCUGCUCUGACUCCACUUAUCUUGAAGAGAAAGGAUGCCUGUGAUCAAAAGUUUCCUUUGUAACCAGACCAGUUGAAACUGGUUAAAACCAAGAUAGCAGACCAAACGAUGUCAAAAGACUUUAGGCUUCAUUACGAUCUCAUUUCCAUGCUAAAUGACACUUCCAACAGUGCCAUGACAGUUGAUAUGUGCCAUGACAGCAACCAGAAUAAGCCAGAAAAGGACAAAAAGGAAGGCAGCACUCUGGUUCCAGGAAGUUCAUCACCUGUAUUAGUCUGUUUUCAUGCUGCUGAUAAAGACACACCAGAGACUGGGUAAUUUAUAAAGUAAAAGAGGUUUAAUGAACUUACAGUUCCAUGUGGCUGAGAAGGCUUCACAAUCAUGGUGGAGGGCGAGGGCGAAAGGCACUUCUUACAUGACAGCAGCUAGAUGGAGUUAAAGAGCCAAACAAAAGGGCUUUACCUUUAUAAACCCAUUACAGACUUAAUCACUACCAUGAGAACAGCAUGGGGAAAACUGCUCCCAUGAUUCAAUUAUCUCCCACUGGGUCCCUCCCACAACACGUGGGAAUUAUGGGAGCUACAAUUCAAGAUGAGAUUUGGGUGGGGACACAGCCAAACAAUAUCACCACCCAUUUCUGGAAAAAGACAUAGACAUUCUUCCUCUCAUGUUUAAUGUCCAACACCUUCAUCAGAAAACCCUAUAUUUUAACCCAUUCACUCCUCACUAGUCCAGGAGGAGUCAUGCUCCUGUUUCUCAGUUCCAUGGUGAUUGAGUAAAGCCUGCACUGCUUGACACUCACUUUCAGUUUUGUAUAUUGGCUUUCUGACACCAAACAGAGAGACCCCAUCCUUGGGGAGACCAGCUUUGUGGGUAACAGUUUAUCAUGUUUACAGUGAUUUUUUUUUUCGUAAUUUCUAGAACUGUUAAAAGAAAGCUUUAACACAAUAUCUUCUUACACAAUUGAAUAAGGAAAGUGGGCCUGCUCCUGAGCAUUGUAGGAGGUAAAACUCUAUGUUUUGCUCCUGAUUACUUUGGAGCUUUUUCUCACUCAGCUCUGUCUGCCUUUCUAUUGCCUUUAUUUGUUUACAUGCCUAACUUUAUCUUUCCA